This 835-nucleotide ribosomal RNA is filed under the name uncultured bacterium. RNAcentral describes it as "bacterial SSU rRNA". It matches the Rfam family "Bacterial small subunit ribosomal RNA", at positions 59 to 900 of the family's 1533-position model. The record is from RNAcentral.
CAGUCGAGGGGUAUAGGUUUUCGGACCUAGAGACCGGCGCACGGGUGCGUAACGCGUAUGCAAUCUACCUUUUACAGAGGGAUAGCCCAGAGAAAUUUGGAUUAAUACCUCAUAGUAUUAUUGAAUGGCAUCAUUUAAUAAUUAAAGUCACAACGGUAAAAGAUGAGCAUGCGUCCCAUUAGCUUGUUGGUAAGGUAACGGCUUACCAAGGCAACGAUGGGUAGGGGUCCUGAGAGGGAGAUCCCCCACACUGGUACUGAGACACGGACCAGACUCCUACGGGAGGCAGCAGUGAGGAAUAUUGGUCAAUGGGCGCAAGCCUGAACCAGCCAUGCCGCGUGCAGGAUGAAGCAUCUAUGGUGUGUAAACUGCUUUUGUACGAGAAGAAACACUCCUUCGUGAAGGAGCUUGACGGUAUCGUAAGAAUAAGGACCGGCUAACUCCGUGCCAGCAGCCGCGGUAAUACGGAGGGUCCAAGCGUUAUCCGGAAUCAUUGGGUUUAAAGGGUCCGUAGGCGGUUUUGUAAGUCAGUGGUGAAAGCCCAUCGCUCAACGGUGGAACGGCCAUUGAUACUGCAAGACUUGAAUUAUUAGGAAGUAACUAGAAUAUGUAGUGUAGCGGUGAAAUGCUUAGAUAUUACAUGGAAUACCAAUUGCGAAGGCAGGUUACUACUAAUGGAUUGACGCUGAUGGACGAAAGCGUGGGGAGCGAACAGGAUUAGAUACCCUGGUAGUCCACGCCGUANACGAUGGAUACUAGCUGUUCGGAGCAAUCUGAGUGGCUAAGCGAAAGUGAUAAGUAUCCCACCUGGGGAGUACGUUCGCAAGAAUGAAAC